UCUGGCGGCCGAAAGGCUGCUGGUUCUUCCACGUCGUUGGCAAAUGGGUGCAAAAAUAUGGGAUGUAUAGUGCCUGUUCUCGCGCUCUGUGGACUUUCGGUCGUCGUCCUCAUAGCAGACCCGUUGUGCUAAGCAUGACGGGAUGCUUGGCCGUCUUGACCGUUGUGGCUACGCUGGCGCAUGAGCUGUUGUGGACAUGUGGCUGCCUGGAGGCCCCCCGUCGUGUGACGGCCGACUCCCGGUGCAGUGUCCUUUCAAUUGUAUUGGUUUCAAAACCUUUGCCGUUGACGAGUGCUUGCGUUCUGCUACCCGUUCUGCGGGAAGUAGACCUUCGUACCAGUUGCCUUCGUCGCGUGCGUCCUUUGGGCGUGUCGCGUCGAUCACCUAGCGCUUGCGGUGUUGCCUCGCGGCGUCAGCCAUCUAGGCCGGCAUCGUCUAGGACACCUCGCACUCGCUCUUGGUCUCGGAUGACGCUCAUUGUAUAGGCUCGUGGCAUUUUGGUGCCUCGUUCCUCGCAAAAGUCCCGUCGGAAACGUGACAGUUGGCUCGGCUACCGUCGCCGUUAGACCCCUCGUGGUCUAGCGCGGCUGUUAGCCGUUGCUAGCUCGUCCAUGAGGACGUGCU
Molecule: unclassified non-coding RNA, 624 nt
Filed under: Triodia concinna
Lineage: Eukaryota; Viridiplantae; Streptophyta; Magnoliopsida; Poales; Poaceae
Description: partial external transcribed spacer
Source: RNAcentral